Molecule: long non-coding RNA, 327 nt
Organism: Bubalus bubalis (water buffalo)
Lineage: Eukaryota; Metazoa; Chordata; Mammalia; Artiodactyla; Bovidae
Exons: 3
Source: RefSeq, a predicted model, not a curated record
AUUUUUUCCUCUAUAUUUCAGUGUAUAGACAAGCUGGAGAACCACUCAUCUAAGCCACAGGUUGCUACAGUCAAUUCCAAUUAUGCUGGUCAGUGAGACCCUUCAUAUCCCAUACCAGCUCCAUCUUCCUGAGCAGAGUGGAAGGGUGGUGGAAGCUGAGCAAUUGCAUAGGAGACCCAGGUCUUCCCAGAGGCUUUCAUAAAGGUCUGCCCGUGGGGUCUGAUUCUGAACACUUCCUAGCUGUGUAUGCCACUCCUCUGUUUGCAUAUCCAACACCAAAGACAAUCAGAGCUAUCAGCAGAAAAGCAGACUUCUGGAAUGCCAUUC